ACCUGAAACCAAGCAAAAUUGGGCCUGGUUAAAACUGUAUUUGGAUAGGAGACUACCUAGAAAUAGCAGAUGUUGUAGGUU
Ribosomal RNA from Salvator merianae (Argentine black and white tegu), 81 nucleotides. NCBI's taxonomy places the organism in Eukaryota, Metazoa, Chordata, Lepidosauria, Squamata, Teiidae. The record is from Ensembl.